UACGUAGGGUGCAAGCGUUGUCCGGAAUUAUUGGGCGUAAAGAGCGUGUAGGCGGUCUGGUAGGUCCGUUGUGAAAACUCGAGCUCAACCUCGAGACGCCGAUGGAAACCCUCAGACUAGAGUCCGGAAGAGGAGAGUGGAAUUCCGUGGUGUAGCGGUGAAAUGCGCAGAUAUCAGGAAGAACACCCGUGGCUAAGGCGGCUCUCUAGUACGUGACUGACGCUGAGACGCGAAAGCGUGGGGAGCGAACAGG
Molecule: ribosomal RNA, 253 nt
Filed under: uncultured bacterium
Lineage: Bacteria
Description: partial 16S ribosomal RNA
Rfam family: Bacterial small subunit ribosomal RNA
Source: RNAcentral